This 495-nucleotide ribosomal RNA is filed under the name uncultured bacterium. Its description in RNAcentral is "partial 16S ribosomal RNA". It matches the Rfam family "Bacterial small subunit ribosomal RNA", at positions 28 to 507 of the family's 1533-position model. The record is from RNAcentral.
GACGAACGCUGGCGGCGUGCCUAAUACAUGCAAGUAGAACGCUGAAGGAGGAGCUUGCUUCUCUGGAUGAGUUGCGAACGGGUGAGUAACGCGUAGGUAACCUGCCUGGUAGCGGGGGAUAACUAUUGGAAACGAUAGCUAAUACCGCAUAAUAGUAGAUGUUGCAUGACAUUUGCUUAAAAGGUGCAAUUGCAUCACUACCAGAUGGACCUGCGUUGUAUUAGCUAGUUGGUGAGGUAACGGCUCACCAAGGCAACGAUACAUAGCCGACCUGAGAGGGUGAUCGGCCACACUGGGACUGAGACACGGCCCAGACUCCUACGGGAGGCAGCAGUAGGGAAUCUUCGGCAAUGGACGGAAGUCUGACCGGGCAACGCCGCGUGAGUGAAGAAGGUUUUCGGAUCGUAAAGCUCUGUUGUAAGAGAAGAACGAGUGUGAGAGUGGAAAGUUCACACUGUGACGGUAUCUUACCAGAAAGGGACGGCUAACUACGUG